RNAcentral lists this unclassified non-coding RNA (230 nucleotides) under Oryza sativa (Asian cultivated rice). Its description in RNAcentral is "partial microRNA MIR431b-6 precursor". Lineage: Eukaryota; Viridiplantae; Streptophyta; Magnoliopsida; Poales; Poaceae. The record is from RNAcentral.
UACCCCGUCCCAUAUUAUGUCGCUUUGAGUUUUUAUUUGUAAUGUUUAUUCAUUCGUCUUAUUAAAAAGAUUUAAAAUUAUUAUUUAUUUUGUUUGUGAUUUGUUUUAUUAUCAAAAGUACUUUAAGUAUGACUUAUCAUUUUCAAUAUUUGCACUAAUUUUUCAAAUAAAAUGAAUGGUCAAAUGUUGCAAGCAAACAGUCAAAGCGACAAGUAAUAUGGGACAGAGGC